This 1265-nucleotide ribosomal RNA is filed under the name Triticum aestivum (bread wheat). RNAcentral's name for it is "partial small subunit ribosomal RNA". Lineage: Eukaryota; Viridiplantae; Streptophyta; Magnoliopsida; Poales; Poaceae. The record is from RNAcentral.
GCGUCGACAUGAAUAUCCGGGUGUGGGAGAGGGUGGGUCUUUGUAGGUCGUUUCGUUGGCUCUCUCUUUCUCUCUCGCCUUCUGCGCCUCGAUGGCGCACUCUUCUCGCUCGCUCGCUCGCUCGGUCGUCGAGUCGCUCGAGUUGCUGGCGGCGCCGCUGCUACACCUCGUGGCUGAGGCUGGAGCUGCUCAGGCGCAGCUGCUGCUGCCGCCGGUGGAGGAGGGACAGGAGGAGUACGAGGGACGUCGGCGUCUGCGGGGGCGGGGGAGCGGCGUCUGCGUCGGCAUUGGCGGCGGCGCGGGUCGCGGCCCAGUUCUUGCCGGGCCUCCACCUCCUCAGCCUCCGCCUCCGGCUCCGCCUCCUCCACACCACGCCGCGCGUCACCCUCCGCCGCACCGGUGCCUCCCGCGCCGGCCACCACGAGCGGCCCCUUCUGCGCCGGGGACUGGCGCGGCCUCGCCCGCGGCCCCUAAGGCCGCACCCCGCACGGUCCUCGGACUGCCUGCUGCUGGACCUCCUCGAGUUCCCCACGCACCUAGACCCCAAGCCCAAGUCGAUGUUGCUCUAGGGGCUCGACACGCCGUGGGACGGGCGCGAGCUCGAGACGAUGAGGUACUCGGUCGCCAAGAACCUGCUCGUGGUCGGCGGCAGGUUCCGGCUCCUCAACCGAGGCCUCGGCGGCCGCCAGCACGGAGGAAGCGGCCGGGUUGGGUAGGGGUUGACCUUCUAAAGGACGGGACCCCUGUCGGGUCUACUCCACUUCCGCUCCGAGUUCAUGACCCGCGUCCGCCACCGCACGUGGCAGUUCGACACGUCGACUAGUUGACGUGCCAGUUAGUUAGGACGCCUGCGUCCUUCUGCUUCGGUUGAGUAUGAGCGUUCCGCCGUUGGGUUAAGUAGUCCGCUGGAUACACGUGCUCUCGUGCGGUAGACGGGCUUAGCGCACCUUUAAUGUAACGUAACGUAGUUAAGUAGCGGUAGUAGUGCUGUUCGUGUCCUUCCCACGUGCGUAGUAUAACACCUGAACCCUAACGCGGAGACUACUGUCCUUCGCUUCUUCGCUCGCUCCUCUACAGUGGCCGGUAAAGAUUACGCCGUGAGUGUGUAAUACUAAAUCAUACUUAGUGACUUAAAGGAAAGUUUUCUUUCAUACUUAGGAACUAGUCGUCGACAUCGAUUAAAUAAGUACAUUUGUCUGUUGCAUAUUACACAAGAGUUGGUUAAGUAAAACCUUUAUUAUUAACUAGAGCACGACUCGACACGG